UAAACUAUGCGUCCCAAAGGUGCCGGGUUAGGGAGGCUUGGGGGAGGCUUGGGGAGGAAAGGUGCGCCGAGAGUCGGGAGGAGGAAACCAAGUCAGACACCCUUUUAGUCUUAAGUAGUAACUUAGGACACCUAGUCGAGGGAAUGUAUUAUUAUAAAGUGACAUAGUCGAUGGUUCCUUUUUAGACCUUCUGUCUCCUAUCUCUCACUCUCUUUCUCACACUCUGAACGCGGCGAGAGGUAAAGCUCCCCUAAAGCUGCUAAAACCCUCCGCUUAUUAUCCGAUCCUAAACCUCCUCUGUGGCGGCGGGCUGAGGAGUUGUGCGGCGGCUGGCUGAGGAGCUGCGGCCGUAUGGAGGAGGCGGCAUGACCGGAAGAGGGGCCACCAUUCGGGAGCGGAGCGCAGAGGAGGAAAGAGGAGCAACAGAUCUAAAGAAGGUAGGCGGACCGGUACCGACGACCGAGCAGGAGGGGCCGCUCGAGCGGCUCGUGCGGCAGAGGGUCCCGUGGUUCCGGCAGUGGUACAAGUGGAGGAGAAUCUAAGUCAGAGACCGUUGACAUCAACCCACGACAAAUGGAUCUUAACCACAACGAGUUACCCUUAGCCACCUUAUAAGAAAUCAAACAUCAAUCCAACGACUACAAUGGCACAGACUAGCUAGACUUUAUCGUUAUUACACCACGUAGAAAACCCUUCGGAGACAAGACUUGAUCAAUGAGCAACAUACCGAGCGUUACUUUGUAACGGCGACUUUUGUUUAAAGUCACCUUGACAGCUGCAUCCAGAACUAGGUUAAAGUAGCCGUACGACAUCUUUAAGAAAACUAAUCUACUAACCGACGGUUGACUUCAGUCCUCUACAUGGUCGAUGUCUAACGACAUGGUUAGUCACCGUCUCGAUCGAUUAGUUACCUCUGCCCCGUUUUAUGUUUCCCUACACCAAGUACCCGUAAAACGGGUGAUUUUGACUACUAACCAAGAGGUAGAAGAAGAUAUUAGUUUACCCUCAAAGAUCCGUCUCGGGCCCGUCGACGGGUCCCAGCGGCCCUCCACCGAGGCGGUGACCAUGGUUACUUUUCAAAAAUAAACUAGUCUGAACAAUUCAAAAAUGACUUAAAAUUAGUCUAACGACAUUGUCGAGGAAGACAAGAACAAUACACGACGAAACAAAACUAAGCUAGACAACGCGUUCGAGCGCAAAGAGACAUUUAGAGACGUCUGUUACUGACACUCGGCCGACUCUACAUUUAAGUCACAACUAUCAACGGGAAACAUACACAGGCAUGCACCACUAUCGAACUAUAUACCGACAACUAACGAGUGGCAGAAGCUAAGUAAAAGGGCAUCACUAUACGUACCACUGUAAACCAGGGAAAUAAAGGAAGUGAAACUAAGGUUCUAGUGAACGUAUAGAUCGGACCGAAACAUAGGAAAGAGACUUUAUAUAUGAGACGGACACCAUGAUAUUGUCCGUCGUUUUAUUGAGGAAUUAAGCCAGUCUCACGGUCAGGAUUGUUCGACGCGUCAUUAGACCAGUAGAUACAAGGUGGUUCAAUUUAGGACAAAAGCAGGUACAGUGGAAUUAUCUUCAACAUCCUUUAAAUACAUCUAUAGAGCCUACAUAAAUAAACGACGUGAACCAAUUCGCCAAUUUCUUUAUACCUGUCCUGGCGUUCGUUGAGUCUAAUAAAUCAUUUUUUUAAGUCAAUUCAACUUCUGAC
This 1720-nucleotide ribosomal RNA is filed under the name Triticum aestivum (bread wheat). RNAcentral describes it as "partial small subunit ribosomal RNA". The record is from RNAcentral. Lineage: Eukaryota; Viridiplantae; Streptophyta; Magnoliopsida; Poales; Poaceae.